This 407-nucleotide ribosomal RNA is filed under the name uncultured Dysgonomonas sp. RNAcentral describes it as "bacterial SSU rRNA". It matches the Rfam family "Bacterial small subunit ribosomal RNA", at positions 509 to 914 of the family's 1533-position model. The record is from RNAcentral. Lineage: Bacteria; Pseudomonadati; Bacteroidota; Bacteroidia; Bacteroidales; Dysgonomonadaceae.
CAGCAGCCGCGGUAAUACGGAGGAUGCGAGCGUUAUCCGGAUUUAUUGGGUUUAAAGGGUGCGCAGGCGGGAUUUUAAGUCAGCGGUGAAAUUUUCAGGCUCAACCUGAACACUGCCGUUGAAACUGGGAUUCUUGAGUAUGGAUGAAGUAGGCGGAAUUCGUUGUGUAGCGGUGACAUGCUUAGAUAUAACGAGGAACUCCGAUUGCGUAGGCAGCUUACUAAGCCAUAACUGACGCUCAAGCACGAAAGCGUGGGGAUCAAACAGGAUUAGAUACCCUGGUAGUCCACGCCGUAAACGAUGAUUACUAGUUGUUUGCGAUAUACGAGUAAGUGACUGAGCGAAAGCGUUAAGUAAUCCACCUGGGGAGUACGUUCGGCCAAUGGCUCUCACUGAAAGGAAUUGAC